Molecule: long non-coding RNA, 1462 nt
Filed under: Fukomys damarensis (Damara mole-rat)
Lineage: Eukaryota; Metazoa; Chordata; Mammalia; Rodentia; Bathyergidae
Description: lncRNA (ENSFDAG00000024812.1)
Source: RNAcentral
CACGGGUGUGCUCAAAGUCCCAACUAGAUUUCCAUUAGAACUGUUCCUUAGCCUUCUGUUCUAACUUGUCUCCAUAGGAGCUCAAAUCUAUGUUUGUUUGUUUUUUAAUUUUAGGUACCAGGGAUUGAACUCGGGUCCUUGUGCUUGCGAAGCAGGCGGCAAAACUGAGCUAAAUCCCGUCACCGGAGUUCAAAUCUAACCUACAGCCUGCAGGGGGCAGGAGCCAGCCAAAAAACUCUUCAAGCACAGUGCUCCUGUGGCUACAGCAAGUUAGGUACAUGUGAUAAAUCAGGAGCUCUUCACACUUAAUUGAAGAUGCAGCUUUCUAAAACAGAUCGCCAGCAGCCGCGGCUCCCUGAGAAAGAAAGAAAGAGACAAAAUCAUCUUUCCCCUGAGAAUUGGCUUUUUAAUGAAAAGGACAGAAAAGAACGAAUAUGCCCAAUGCCGAGACUGGAUUGUGCGGGACCCCGGGCUAUUCAGAUCUAGGAGAUGGCGUGCCAAAGCUGGCUGGGGAAAGGAGCCCGACCUGUCAGUCACCAUACCCCGGGUGACUCGAGAACACGCAUGAAGUUCCCACCAGCUCCCGAGCAGUGCGGACUGCGGGAAAAGGACUGGCUAUCACCGAAAGCCUAUCGUGCGUGAGUUUGCAGAGCAGCCCGGCCGUGUCUGAAAGCGGCGUGUGCUUCUUAUUUUGGCUUGUACCUUUUCUCUUUGUUUGGCCCAAGCUUGCUCUGCAGAGCUGGUUUCACGCCACCCUUUUCAAAUUAGCUCUUUUGCACAGUUAUUGGUUUGCCUCAUCCAGUCCUUUUGAUUGGCGAGCUAUUUCUAAAGAAAGCACCCUCUGAGCCUUCCAAGCCCCGCCGUCUCAGCGGGUGGCGCUCACCCAACGCUAAGGUGACCCAGAGGCAAAGCUGCCAGUCCAGUGAGGCAGCGCCACAUUCGGUGAGCCCAGGCUCUUCUGAGAAAACAACAAAGCCACACUUCGCAGAGUGAAGACAGUUUUAGAGAGCCCACAGACCCCUCCGAAGCCCAUGCCUGGUCCCUGGAUUAAGAUCACUGCCAAAGGUAGCCCCGAGACCUUCCUGAGCGAACCAAGAACCUCCUCCAGGGAACGCAGCGGGUUCUUCUGACAGCGCGACACCAUCCCAUGGUUGCAGGUGCCCUCUCGACCUUAUAUUGUCCUAGACUCUUGUCACCAAGAAACAGCUCCAAAGAGCGCUGGGCUCCAGGGCCCUCUCACACUGCUGCUUCUUGGCCUCUCCACUCAGUCUUCUGAGUGGCAGAGUUGCACCUUAGGUCAUCUGAAAUGAUUUCAUUUGUGCACAGCAGGUGACGGGCAGACAAUCGCCGAGCCCAUGGCGGUAGCCGGUGCAGGCCAGCGGUCCAUGCCAAGGAGAAUGCUGAAGCUGACCCCUCUCCGACGACUGAGGCGCCCCCGCUGAAAGGAGUUUGAAUUAUAGCC